GGCGUGCUUAACACAUGCAAGUCGAACGGUGAUGCCCAGCUUGCUGGGCGGAUCAGUGGCGAACGGGUGAGUAACACGUGAGUAACCUGCCCCAGACUCCGGGAUAAGCCUUGGAAACGAGGUCUAAUACUGGAUAUGAGAUGCCCCUGCAUGGGGAGUGUCUGGAAAGAUUUAUCGGUCUGGGAUGGACUCGCGGCCUAUCAGCUUGUUGGUGGGGUAAUGGCCUACCAAGGCGACGACGGGUAGCCGGCCUGAGAGGGCGACCGGCCACACUGGGACUGAGACACGGCCCAGACUCCUACGGGAGGCAGCAGUGGGGAAUAUUGCACAAUGGGCGAAAGCCUGAUGCAGCGACGCCGCGUGAGGGAUGAAGGCCUUCGGGUUGUAAACCUCUUUCAGCAGGGAAGAAGCGCAAGUGACGGUACCUGCAGAAGAAGCGCCGGCUAACUACGUGCCAGCAGCCGCGGUAAUACGUAGGGCGCAAGCGUUGUCCGGAAUUAUUGGGCGUAAAGAGCUCGUAGGCGGUUUGUCGCGUCUGGUGUGAAAACUCAAGGCUCAACCUUGAGCUUGCAUCGGGUACGGGCAGACUAGAGUGCGGUAGGGGUGACUGGAAUUCCUGGUGUAGCGGUGGAAUGCGCAGAUAUCAGGAGGAACACCGAUGGCGAAGGCAGGUCACUGGGCCGCAACUGACGCUGAGGAGCGAAAGCAUGGGGAGCGAACAGGAUUAGAUACCCUGGUAGUCCAUGCCGUAAACGUUGGGCACUAGGUGUGGGGCUCAUUCCACGAGUUCCGUGCCGCAGCAAACGCAUUAAGUGCCCCGCCUGGGGAGUACGGCCGCAAGGCUAAAACUCAAAGGAAUUGACGGGGGCCCGCACAAGCGGCGGAGCAUGCGGAUUAAUUCGAUGCAACGCGAAGAACCUUACCAAGGCUUGACAUACACCGGAAACUUCCAGAGAUGGUUGCCCCGCAAGGUCGGUGUACAGGUGGUGCAUGGUUGUCGUCAGCUCGUGUCGUGAGAUGUUGGGUUAAGUCCCGCAACGAGCGCAACCCUCGUCUUAUGUUGCCAGCACGUCAUGGUGGGGACUCAUAAGAGACUGCCGGGGUCAACUCGGAGGAAGGUGGGGAUGACGUCAAAUCAUCAUGCCCCUUAUGUCUUGGGCUUCACGCAUGCUACAAUGG
RNAcentral lists this ribosomal RNA (1179 nucleotides) under Cellulomonas sp. AP26. RNAcentral describes it as "bacterial SSU rRNA". It matches the Rfam family "Bacterial small subunit ribosomal RNA", at positions 41 to 1233 of the family's 1533-position model. The record is from RNAcentral. Lineage: Bacteria; Bacillati; Actinomycetota; Actinomycetes; Micrococcales; Cellulomonadaceae.